CAGCAGCCGCGGUAAUACGUAGGGUGCGAGCGUUAAUCGGAUUUACUGGGCGUAAAGCGUGCGCAGGCGGCCCGUUAAGACAGGUGUGAAAUCCCUGGGCUCAACCUAGGAAUUGCGCUUGUGACUUGCGGGCUCGAGUACGGUAGAGGGGGGUGGAAUUCCUGGUGUAGCAGUGAAAUGCGUAGAGAUCAGGAGGAACACCGAUGGCGAAGGCAGCCCCCUGGGCCUGUACUGACGCUCAUGCACGAAAGCGUGGGGAGCAAACAGGAUUAGAUACCCUGGUAGUCCACGCCCUAAACGAUGGGUACUAGCCGUUUGGUGCGCGAGAGCGCUGAGUGGCGAAGCUAACGCGAGAAGUACCCCGCCUGGGGAGUACGGCCGCAAGGUUGAAACUUAAAGGAAUUGGCAGG
This 410-nucleotide ribosomal RNA is filed under the name uncultured microorganism. RNAcentral's name for it is "bacterial SSU rRNA". It matches the Rfam family "Bacterial small subunit ribosomal RNA", at positions 509 to 917 of the family's 1533-position model. The record is from RNAcentral.